RNAcentral lists this long non-coding RNA (718 nucleotides) under Homo sapiens (human). RNAcentral describes it as "HSALNT0177468". The record is from RNAcentral. Lineage: Eukaryota; Metazoa; Chordata; Mammalia; Primates; Hominidae.
CUGAUGCGUGGGAGAGGCCGCAGCUGCAGGAAUGAUUUCCUGGGGAGGUGUCGAGAGGAGAGGGGACCUAGCCCACAGUCGGGAGCUUGGCCAGCUAGGAGCUGAGACAUCAACAUCAUCAGGAGGAGGCGCAGAACCAGGCGUGGGUCAGCCAGGGACUUGAGGGGGGGAGGUGACACUCCCUGGCAUCCUCUUGCUCCUUGAUAGCAGGAGAGUGUCAAGUAUUGGGGCUGAGGAAAGGAAGAGGUACUUGGGGUGGAGGGGUUGAGAGACAGGAGCCCUUAUCCCAGCCGAAGUAGAAUAAUGAGCUGUGGCUAUUUUCUAGUAAAAGCCAACACAUACGUGAAAACUGGCCACAUCAGUGGAGAUGCCUGGCUUCUCUGCAGUGACGUGAGCUUCAGGAUGCAGGGAUGGAGUGAGUUCAGCCAGCAUGUCGGCUGGAUGGGUGGGCACCGCGUCUGACUUGAUCCCUCUGUCUGUCCACCUGGUCCCUAGUGUGAGUCCAGCUGCACCGUUUCGUAAGCCCCCUGCCACUGCGCAGACCCUGGUGAAAGUGAAACAUUCCACGGGGAUUUGGGCUGUGAGAAACAGCCUGCCUCUUAUCAUAUUCUGCUGGGAGAAAGUGCAAGCAACACCCCCAUGAUCUUAUCAAUAUCCUGCCAGGCAGCAAGCCAUAUUGCCCAGACCCCUCCCACCCAUACCUAUAAGUACCCCAGCC